CCUACGGGAGGCAGCAGUGAGGAAUAUUGGUCAAUGGACGAGAGUCUGAACCAGCCAAGUAGCGUGAAGGAUGACUGCCCUAUGGGUUGUAAACUUCUUUUAUAUGGGAAUAAAAUGUUCCACGUGUGGGAUUUUGUAUGUACCAUAUGAAUAAGGAUCGGCUAACUCCGUGCCAGCAGCCGCGGUAAUACGGAGGAUCCGAGCGUUAUCCGGAUUUAUUGGGUUUAAAGGGAGCGUAGGGGGAUUGUUAAGUCAGUUGUGAAAGUUUGCGGCUCAACCGUAAAAUUGCAGUUGAAACUGGCAGUCUUGAGUACAGUAGAGGUAGGCGGAAUUCGUGGUGUAGCGGUGAAAUGCUUAGAUAUCACGAAGAACUCCGAUUGCGAAGGCAGUUCACUGGACUGCAACUGACACUGAGGCUCGAAAGUGUGGGUAUCAAACAGGAUUAGAUACCCUUGUAGUC
Molecule: ribosomal RNA, 460 nt
Filed under: uncultured bacterium
Lineage: Bacteria
Description: partial 16S ribosomal RNA
Rfam family: Bacterial small subunit ribosomal RNA
Source: RNAcentral